AUUGAACGCUGGCGGCAGGCUUAACACAUGCAAGUCGAGCGGGGUGAUGGUGCUUGCACUAUCACUUAGCGGCGGACGGGUGAGUAAUGCUUAGGAACCUGCCUAUUAGUGGGGGACAACAUCUCGAAAGGGAUGCUAAUACCGCCUACGUCGUACGGGAGAAAGCAGGGGAUCACUUGUGACCUUGCGCUAAUAGAUGAGCCUAAGUCGGAUUAGCUAGUUGGUGGGGUAAAGGCCUACCAAGGCGACGAUCUGUAGCGGGUCUGAGAGGAUGAUCCGCCACACUGGGACUGAGACACGGCCCAGACUCCUACGGGAGGCAGCAGUGGGGAAUAUUGGACAAUGGGGGGAACCCUGAUCCAGCCAUGCCGUGUGUGUGAAGAAGGCCUUAUGGUUGUAAAGCACUUUAAGCGAGGAGGAGGCUCUUUUGGUUAAUACCCAAGAUGAGUGGACGUUACUCGCAGAAUAAGCACCGGCUAACUCUGUGCCAGCCGCCGCAGUAA
Molecule: ribosomal RNA, 503 nt
Filed under: uncultured bacterium
Lineage: Bacteria
Description: partial 16S ribosomal RNA
Rfam family: Bacterial small subunit ribosomal RNA
Source: RNAcentral